This 2416-nucleotide long non-coding RNA is filed under the name Bemisia tabaci. Its description in RNAcentral is "lncRNA ENSSSA2NGG007372". The record is from RNAcentral. Lineage: Eukaryota; Metazoa; Arthropoda; Insecta; Hemiptera; Aleyrodidae.
AAUAUGGAAAGAGCUUUAUUCAAAGACUGUCGGGUAAAGCGGCUGAAGGCAGAAGUAGAAAAAAGAAACGGAUUCAAAAUAGCUGCAUACAGUGCCAGCCUGAUUCUCGAGGAAAAUCUGUCAGUUGAUGCCGCAGCCACUGUAGUAUGCAGUCAUUUAGUUGAGAAGGAAAAGCAAAUUAUGGCAAAAAGCUCAACAAAGAAACCGUGAGUUUUUCGAAUAUCAUACUUGAAAUUUUCUGUAAAAACAUGCUUUGUUUUCGUUUUGUAUGACAUAUUUUUAGCGGAUGGAAAUUUGUUGCAUGUAGAGGAGAAAAAUUUGAAAGGAGAAGAGAGUUGGGAAAUACCUCCUGUUUGGUUUGAAAUUAUAGAAAACAUCUGUAGUGGAGCAAGAAAAUGGGGCUGCAUCGAGCAGAAAUGAAGUAAGUCUUAUUUGCUGAACUAAAUUUCAUCAGGAAAGUUUUGUUUUAUAGAAUUUUCAAUUAUAGGAAAGUAGUAGCGGCUGAAUUUUGAGAAUUUUUGUAAUAUUAUGCUGUUUCUUCCCAUCUUCUGAGUAUGAUAGGCUCUUAAGGUCGAGCUUUCUGUGUGCAAAUUUCUCUAAACUUGCGUUUGAAAACUAGAUUUUUCGUCAAUUUGAAAUGGACUGUCACACAGUGAAGUGGCUAGAAGUAGGGGAUGCUAGUUGAAAAUGUGUUCUCUAUUGUUCUGCUAUAUUUAGAUGUUGACCACUUCGAUCAUUGUAAUUUGAUAUAUGUGAGAAAGAAAAUAAUUUAUUUACUAAAUUUUUCUCUCCUUUUUCCAUUCAGAAUCGAGAGCGAUCCAGAUCCAGAUCCAGAUCUCAGUCCAAGACGAUGAGAAAGAAUCCUGAUAGGAAUCAUCAUUCUUCAACUUUGAAGGAAAGCUCCAAAUUGGAAACUAAUCGAGAGCGAUCCAGAUCCAGAUCCAGAUCUCAGUCCAAGACGAUGAGAAAGAAUCCUGAUAGGAAUCAUCAUUCUUCAACUUUGAAGGAAAGCUCCAAAUUGGAAACUAAUCGAGAGCGAUCCACAUCCAGAUCCAGAUCUCAGUCCAAGACGAUGAGAAAGAAUCCUGAUAGGAAUCAUCAUUCUUCAACUGUGAAGGAAAGCUCCAAAUUGGAAACUAAUCGAGAGCGAUCCACAUCCAGAUCCAGAUCUCAGUCCAAGACGAUGAGAAAGAAUCCUGAUAGGAAACUUUAUACUUCAACUUUGAAGGAAAGCUCCAAAUUGGAAACUUCAGACGUGGUUCAAAUCGUCGCGGGAUUGCUGCCCGAGCUCCUACCCUCCAUUGUGGAGGGGGUCAUGGAGAAAAUGAAGAAGGUCAAGUGAUGUGUUACCAAAGUGAUGUAUUACCAAAGUGAUGUGUAAUACCAAAUUAUUAUAUUUUCUUAAUAUUUCCCCUCAUCAUGUAUUGAACUGCAAAUUUUUAUAAUUCUUAAUACGAAAUUUAUUUGUGGAUUUUAUCUUUUGUUCCUGACUGAUGGUCCUAUGUCUUCAUAAUUUAUAAGAUUCUCUUUUAUUUUCUUGCUUUAAUUUGUUUGUUUUGUUCUUAAGAUUUUUUGAUCUCUUCAAAAGACUGUUAAAGUAACUAUAUAGUAUAUAACUUUACUAGAAUAGUUAGGAAAUGAUUUGCCAUUUGUUCCUCAGGCACUGUGAUUUUAUUUCUUGACUUUAAUUUUCCUUCCAUUUUUGUUUUAUUCUUCACAUUUUUUGAUCUCUUCAAAGACUGUUAAAGUAACUAUAGUAUAUAACUGUACUAGAAUAGUUAGGAAAUCAUUUGCCAUUUGUUCCUCAGGCACUGUGAUUUUAUUUCUUGACUUUAAUUUUCCUACCAUUUCCAAAGUGUCUUAAGUUACAUUCUAGUUCAUUACUAAUGUUUGAAAUUCCCUAUGAUAAAGUUAUUGUGCUCAGAAUAGUCAGGAAAUCAUUUGCCAUUUGUUCCUCAGGCACUGUGAUUUUAUUUCUUGACUUUAAAUUUCCUUCUGUUUCCAAUGUAUUUCAAGUUACAUUCUUGUGAAUUAUUAAUUUUUGCAAUUCCCUAUGAAUAAAGUUUCUGUGUUCAUUUUUUUAAAAAAAAAUUCAUUUAUUAUCUUCCUCUUUCUUCUCGUUAGUUCAGGGUAAAUGUGUAAAAUUUCUGACAAAAUAUUUUCCUGGAAAAAUACUGAUAGUUCUGGAAAUGAAAAUUUAAGUGAUUUUUCUCCCAUCACUUCAGAGAAAUUACUUAAAAAAUUUAUUUGCAGUUAAUAGUGAUUUACCAGCACAAAAGUCAUGCUGGUGAAUUUGUUAAAUCAUUGCAUUGCAUGGAUUGACAACCCUCAUUAUGUUUCAGUGAAUGCGAUUGCUGCAAUUCUAGCGAAGAACCUUAUGUUUUAAAUGUUUUAAUCUUAUAUUCUUCACCUUAUG